AAUGGUAUAGCUCAGUGACAGAGUGUAUGCUUAGCAUGCAUGAGGUCCUGGGUUUGAUCCACAGUACCUUCA
Camelus ferus (Wild Bactrian camel) is the source of this 72-nucleotide transfer RNA. It matches the Rfam family "tRNA". Rfam says of the family: Transfer RNA (tRNA) molecules are approximately 80 nucleotides in length. Their secondary structure includes four short double-helical elements and three loops (D, anti-codon, and T loops). Further hydrogen bonds mediate the characteristic L-shaped molecular structure. tRNAs have two regions of fundamental functional importance: the anti-codon, which is responsible for specific mRNA codon recognition, and the 3' end, to which the tRNAs corresponding amino acid is attached (by aminoacyl-tRNA synthetases). tRNAs cope with the degeneracy of the genetic code in two manners: having more than one tRNA (with a specific anti-codon) for a particular amino acid; and 'wobble' base-pairing, i.e. permitting non-standard base-pairing at the 3rd anti-codon position. The record is from Rfam. Lineage: Eukaryota; Metazoa; Chordata; Mammalia; Artiodactyla; Camelidae.